Molecule: non-coding RNA, 1842 nt
Organism: Rhopilema esculentum
Lineage: Eukaryota; Metazoa; Cnidaria; Scyphozoa; Rhizostomeae; Rhizostomatidae
Source: RefSeq, a predicted model, not a curated record
AGUACAUUUGAUCCAAACUUUCACUGAAUUUUUUUCAACGAACCUGUUUUAAAGACAAUUAUUUUUUCAAGUUGUCAAACUUCAUUUUGAUAAAAUUUAAUGUUCCUUGUUAAAGGUAUUUUAUUAACAUUAAAUAAGGAUAUAUUUUCAGUUGUAUGUCUGAUGCAUCUUCAAAAUGGGAGCUUUGUUUUUUCUAAAAGAUUUGAAUGCUUUUUGUAUAUCAGAGAUUAAAUUGCUUAGAUAUUGUAGCAUACCAUACUUCUCUCUUAUUGAGAAAGAAAGCUGAAAUAAUCAUAGAUCAUACAAGAAAAAUCUAUUUGCUGUUGUCUGCUUCCUUUUAAGGCCACCCCCUCAGUUUUAAAUUUUUCCAUGUUUGAAAGCUUUAUAGUUUGGCAAAUGUACUAAUAUCUUAUAUUUUUUUGAAUUUAAGGGAGAAUUUGAGAUGUCUUGGAAUUUAAUGAACAAGGUGCCAUCAAGGGUAAACUGCUUGAUGUCAAUAAACAAUAUACUGUUUGUGAAAUACACCUGCAAGAAGGGCAAAGGGCUAGCAUUUAAGAUGUCUUGGAAUUGAAUGAAUAAGGUGCCGUUAAGAGCUGGAUGUCCAUGAGCAAUUAUCUACUGUCUGUGAAGUUCAUCUGCAAGACAUGCAAAGGGUAAACUGCUAGUAGUCUUCUGGAAACAAAAAUCUGCUGGUUGUGAAAGUCACCCCAAAAUCAUUCAAAGGGCAAAUGCUGGCUGUCCAGAAACAAUUAGCUGCUGUUUGUGAAAGUCACCAGCUAAACUUUCAAAGAUGUUGGCGAAAAGAGAGCAAAUGCGAGGAAGAAGCAACCCAAUCAAUUAAACGAAGAUGAUGCCAAAUGUUUUCUGCAUAAUUUCAUUUAGACUUAACAGCCAAAAGGCUAAAGUCAUUUAGAAACUAGAAAUUCAUCAUCAUGAACCGUGGUCCACAUGUAGAAAAGCAAAGAAUCGUUAAUCGGACGGAAACCUUCCAAAUCGCUAGCCAGUUUCAAAAACAUGCCCAGAGAAGGCUUUAAGGUCUUUGAAGACUUUGAAGAGGACUUUGAAGAAGCAGAAAGACGUUUUGGUCCACUCUGCAGUUUUGCAAAGAACAAGAAGCAGCAAAAAGACGUCAAAUUGAGAUCCAGCUACCAGCAAAAGACGAGAAAGUUGUCGUGCUAGACUUUGGAAACUACUUGCAAAAGAGAACAAGAAAAGGCAUUUGUCCAGGUGCCCCAGAACAAUUUGUAUUGAUAAUAGCGGGACAUUUCUUUUAGUGUAAAUUACUGUAAAUGUAUUUUUGGUACAUGUUUCUGGUUCUUCUGGAGAAUUAUUGCAGCAUUUCAAGCACAGAAAAUUCUUGUAGUGUAAUUUGUUUUAAUGUUUGGCCUUUUUCCAAUGGUCAGCAUCUCAACUGUUUUUUUUGCUAGAAAACCACAUGUUUAUCUGGAAAAAACGAUCGAGCAGCAUUUCGAGCACAUGUGAUAUGCCGGAAAAAUUAGAACUUUAGAACUUUUUCCAAUUUUCUUCUAGAGAGUUAUUGCAGCGAUUCUUGUAGAGUGUUAUUACGUAGAACUUUAUUUUGAUGUUUGUUAUUACGUAGAACUUGUUUUUUAAAUCACAUGUCUCCAAGACUUCUUCAGGAGAGUUACUGCAACAAGAAAUGGCAGAAGAGCAUAUCACGUACAUCUUAGAACUUAUCGGCUUGUAGGCUAUUUGGAAAUCGCUUUUUAUUUUGUAGGCCAUGUUUACCUGUGUCUUACAUUUUUUGCGUCUCUCUCUCGUAUACUUAAACAAAAACACAACAUUUGCGUCUCUCUCGUAUACUUAAACAAAAACACAACA